GUCCUUUUGUUAUUUAUUUAAGGUUUGACCUGCCCACUGAUUUUUUAAUGGCCGCGGUAUUCUGACCGUGCAAAGGUAGCAUAAUAAUUUGUCUUUUAAUUGAAGGCUUGUAUGAACGGUUAGACGAAGAAAUAUCUUUCUUUAUUUAAUAUUUAUGAAUUUAAUUUUUUAGUUAAAAAGCUUAAAUUUAUUUAUAGGACGAGAAGACCCUAUAGAACUUUAUAAUUAAUUUUUUAUAUUUUAAUUAGUUUAUUAAUUUAGUAUAAUUAAUUUAUUAUUUUGUUGGGGCGACAAGAAAAUUUAAUUAACUUUUCUUUUAUUUUUCAUUAAUUUAUGUUUUUAUGAUCCUAUAUUAUAGAUUAUAAGAUUAAGUUACCUUAGGGAUAACAGCGUUAUUUUUCUGGAGAGUUCUUAUCGAUAGAAGAGUUUGCGA
RNAcentral lists this ribosomal RNA (433 nucleotides) under Cymatia coleoptrata. RNAcentral's name for it is "partial large subunit ribosomal RNA". Lineage: Eukaryota; Metazoa; Arthropoda; Insecta; Hemiptera; Corixidae. The record is from RNAcentral.